RNAcentral lists this long non-coding RNA (786 nucleotides) under Calidris pugnax (ruff). Its description in RNAcentral is "lncRNA (ENSCPUG00000008687.1)". Lineage: Eukaryota; Metazoa; Chordata; Aves; Charadriiformes; Scolopacidae. The record is from RNAcentral.
ACUCUCUGCUGUACGUGCCAGCUGUGGGUGCGUGGGGAGGUGGACAACAGAUGUGAAAAGGGUCUAUGUGUAUCCAUGAGUCCCUGCAGUGCCACUUAGAAGUCACACCAGUGUCCCUGGCGAGCACGUAGCAGGGAGGAAAGGCAAGAGCUCCAGAGUCUGGGUUGCCACAGUAACCCUUAUUCUACUGCCUUUGGCUUCUACACGGGGGAAAACCUUUCAGUCUGUAAACACCCAGCUCCAUGGACGUGCCUGACACUGGUAAUAUUUGUGGUGGGGCUAUUUAUUGCCAAGAAUCAAUGAAGAGCCCUGCAGGACCAUCUUCUUGCUUCUGAAUCUUCCCACAACUUCCAGACUCCCCUCCAUGCAGCCAAAAAACCCCAAUAAAGAAUCAGUUACCUGCACACCCCAGAUCACAGAGGAGACCACUGCUAACUGCUGAUCGGCUUGUCUUGAACCAGACCCUUCAGAAGGAAAAACCAGAGUCAUCCAUGGCCAUGGGGAUUGUGGACAUACCAGGUGGGCAACAGGAAAAGUAUGUGAGCCCAGCUUUUGCAAUCUGACAGAGGCGGGCGAAAGCAAGUUCAGAGAAAAGACAUUCCCCUGAAGAAGAGCAGGAGAACAGUCCUCGAGCCCUGCCUGUGCUAGGUGAAGGACAGCCAGCCACACCACUUGCUCAAUCCUAAAACCAUCUCCCCCAAGCCCUGGAGACACACUGGCAGUUGAACUGAUUUUCCAGGUAAGCCUCUUUUUUUUUUUUAAACCCUGAAUCUUGAUAGCUGAGCG